AACGCGAAGAACCUUACCUGGAUUUGACAUGCAGCUGACCGCCACAGAAAUGUGGUUUUCUCGCAAGAGACGGCUGCACAGGUGCUGCAUGGCUGUCGUCAGCUCGUGCCGUGAGGUGUUGGGUUAAGUCCCGCAACGAGCGCAACCCUUGUCAUUAGUUGCCAGCAUGUAAUGGUGGGCACUCUAAUGAGACUGCCUAGGUUAACUAGGAGGAAGGUGAGGAUGACGUCAAGUCCGCAUGGCCUUUAUAUCCAGGGCUACACACGUGCUACAAUGGUCGGUACAGAAGGAAGCAAUACCGCGAGGUAGAGCAAAUCCGCAAAAGCCGGCCCCAGUUCGGAUUGUAGUCUGCAACUCGACUACAUGAAGUUGGAAUUGCUAGUAAUGGCGAGUCAGCUACAUCGCCGUGAAUACGUUCCCGGGCCUUGUA
This 430-nucleotide ribosomal RNA is filed under the name uncultured Chlamydiae bacterium. RNAcentral's name for it is "bacterial SSU rRNA". It matches the Rfam family "Bacterial small subunit ribosomal RNA", at positions 958 to 1385 of the family's 1533-position model. Lineage: Bacteria; Pseudomonadati; Chlamydiota; Chlamydiia. The record is from RNAcentral.